UUUUUUUUUUGCUUCGCAACAAAUUUUUUUCGAAAAAGUCUACAAACGGUCUAAAAACUGCCUAGCCAGAAUUUUCCAGACUUAGUUUUUUUUUGAAAUUGGAACUAUUUUUCUUCUGCGGAUGGCUCGGAAGUUGGGGAGUCCUUCUCUAUCAUGACUCGGAGUGUCGCGUGAUCUGGAAAUCGAGAACAAUGCAACAAUUACUGGACUCGGACUAGGACUGGUGGCGGAGAUGAAUCUGGUGGAACUCGGACUGGUGGCGGAGAUGAAUCUGGUGGAACACGGACAGGUGGCGGAUAUAUGUUGCAGGUGAACUCGGAUUGGCGUGAUGGCGGCGGAUAUGUGGUGGCGUAUAUCGAUUCGUUUUGGCGGUGAAUAUGUGGUGGUGGUAUAUGGCAACAGCGACGAUGAUGAUGCGGUGGUGAUAUAUGGCAGCGGCGACGUGACAACCUGUGAACAGAACUCGAAACUCUAAAAGACUAGACGCUAAGACCAGCAACUGGACACGACGAUGCAACCGCAAAUUCAACAAAGCAAAUACAGAAAAGAUUAUGCAAGGCUUAGAUUGGUUCGGAUGGGAUGAACUAACCCUAAUUUUUUUUGGCUUUUUCGUGGACUAUAGGUAUGAAGAACAGACUCGAUCUAAACUACGAAAAACUGUAAAAUCUCACCGAGCAACCUGGAAAUCUGAUACCACUUGAUAGAGGCAAAGGUGUCCCGUCUUUCGAUGAGAUGAUGGAUAUCGCUUUGGUGGAAGUCGACUUUGACGAUCCGACUACGAACGUGCGAGGACGUCGCGCCUUAGCAAUCACUAAACCAACUCCGAGAGGUAUUGACCACGCCGGAGCACGAUCAACCUGACCACGAGGGUCUGUUUCCUGCGAGCAAUCGAAGAACAAGCAAGAAACUAAGAUUGCAAUCUGGAUAUUGCGAAUAUAAGAUGAAAGCUUUAUUGAUCAAGGUGGGGUUCUGUGACACCUUUGCCUGGUCGUUGAACACAAACGGAGUACGCGAAGUUGCAGCUAUGGCGAACUUUUAAUCUAAACAAAACCCAAAGUCUAAACGGUGCCCUAAGGGCUGUAUAUAUGGAGGAAGAGAGGGGGAAUUUCGUGGCCCUUGGUGGAGGGGUCCGAAAUCAACCCUAUCUCUUGUUUCCCCACACAUACGGACUCUAAAAAUAGCCUAUACUUAUGUAUUUCGAAAUUACAUGGACCUGGCCCAAUAAAAAGGUGACGCGGCACCUAUAAUAGCCUUGGAAUGAAAUUUAUGAAGUGGCAUCUUGUAUAUUUCGUCCAUGGCUUCAUGCACCCAUUAUGGUGGCUUCAAAGUCCUGAAAUCAUCACUUGUAACUCCGUUCUUGUUCCCCUUGCGCAUGGCAUCAUCUCCAUGCUUGUUCUUGCUCCAAUGUUCAUCCUUCUCCAAGCUAGGCCCUUCAUUUGUAAGCAAAACAAAUGUAUCCAAUUUAGGCAGCAUCAUAUUCUCAUGAACAUUAGAAUCAUUACCAAGAAACGAAAGUACUUGAUAAUUUAAUUGGCGUGCGCGAGCUCUAGUAAUUGGUCCCAUAUAUGUAGCAGUAGGGGCUGUGGGUGUAACAAUGGUAUUGAUGUCCUCAUCAGAUAGGAACACCUCUAGUGAACCUGAAGUAGAAAAAACUCCUAAUGAUAAUGAUGUCUCUAUCUCAGAUGCUGAAACUCAAUCUGGUAGUGAGCAUUCACCUAGUGAUAACAACAAUGAUAAUGAUGAUGUUCAUGAAGAUGCCCAACAAGACAAUGAAAAAGAACCAUACAAUGAUGUUAAGAUAGAACCGGAUGUCGAACUUGAUAACCCACAACCUAAAAAUAAAUGUUAUGAUAAAAGAGACUGUGUUGCUAGAAAGCAUGGUAAAGAAAGAGAACCGUGGGUUCAGAAACCCAUGCCCUUUCCACCUAAACCAUAUAAGAAAAAGGAUGAUGAAGAAUUUGAACGCUUUGCUAAAAUGCUUAGGCCAGUCUUUUUGCGUACUUAUUUGACUGGUAUUUUAAAGGUGGACCCUUAUGUUAAAUACAUGAAAUAUAUUGUCACUAAUAAAAGAAAAAUACCUGAAGCUGAAAUCUCCACCAUGCUUGCUAAUUAUUCCUUUAAGGAUGGAGUACCUAAGAAAUUGGGAAAUCCAGGAAUACCAACUAUACCAUGCUACAUUAAAAGAAUGUCAAAAUGGCUUUAUUGAUUUGGGAGCCAGUGUUAGUGUUAUGCCUUUCUCUUUAUAUAAAAUACUUGAUUUGAAUAAGCUCACACCUGCUGAAAUAUCAUUGCAUAUGGCUGACAAAUCAACUGCCAUAGCUGUCGGUAUUUGUGAGGAUGUGCCCGUUGUUGUUGCAAAUGUUACUAUCUUAACAGACUUUAUUAUACUUGUGAUGCCCGAGGACGACAACAUGUUGAUUAUCCUUGGUAGACCCUUUUUGAAUAUUGCAGGGGCUAUAUUGAUUACAAUAAAAGCAAAGUCACUUUUCAUAUCAAUGGUAAUGAGCAUAUGGUGCACUUUUCGAAGAAACAAUUUCAAGUGAAUGGUAUUAAUGUUAUUGAAAAAUCUCCGACAAUUACUAUUGGAAGUUUUCAACUCCCUUUACCUACUACCAAAAAGAAUUAUGCAACACUUAUUGUUGGAGAGAUGCUUAUCCCCGUUGAGCUAAGUUAGUGUUUUAUGAAAGUUCUUUGGGUUCAUGCUAAUCGAAAGUGAUUGUUAUUAAGCCUUGAUCAACCUUAUUAAUGGAUUAUUUUCGAGAGGCGUGUAGUCGAUGAAUUUAGUAAGCACAACUUUUUGUCCCUACAUUUGUUUUUCUGUUACUCUUAGUUAAAUAAAACAAAAUGUCAGAUUAUUCCAGUUUUCUGAUUUCUCCAUGCAAUAAAAAAGUGGCCAAAAAUAAUAGUGCUCAGAAUGACCUGAAAUUUUUUCACAAUUUUUUUUGAAUAUUUAACUAUUUCUGAUAUAAAUAACAUCAUAGGGAGGUGCCCCUGGUGCCCACUAGGCACCAGGGCGCGCCCCGGUGGGUAGUGGGCCCCACGUGUCGCCCUCACUUAUCCCUUUAGCUCACUUCACCACCUACCACCAGAAAAAAUCACUCCAUCUCUCUCUCUCUCUCUCUCUCUCUCUCUCUCUCUCUUGUGUUCUUGCUCUCAAACCCGCGGAUUCUGAUAGAGGCAAAGGUGUCCCGUCUUUCGAUGAGAUGAUGGAUAUCGCUUUGGUGGAAGUCGACUUUGACGAUCCGACUACGAACGUGCGAGGACGUCGCGCCUUAGCAAUCGCUAAACCAACUCCGAGAGGUUAUUGACCACGCCUGAUAGAGGCGAGGGUCCUGAUCUUUCGAUGAGAUGAUAACUAUCGAUUUGGUGGAGACGACUUUGACAAUCCGACUACAAACGUGCACGACGUUGCGCCUUAGCAAUCGCUAAACCAAUCUCCUGAGGUUACUGACGAUGCCGGAAGCACGGUCAGCCUGACCACGAAGGUCUAUUCCUGCAAGCAAUCGAAGAAUGAGCAAGAAUAUGAUAAAGCAAUCUGAAUAUUGCAAAUAUAUAUGAGGUAUUGAUAAUGGUGGGGAUCCGUAAGCGGUCUUGGUCUGGUCGUUGGACACAAACGAAGUACACGAAGUUGCAAUGGCUAACUUUCAACUAAACAGAUCCCAAGGAAAAGCUACUAGAUGGAUCUACUUAUAUAGGAGCAAGGGGUGGCGGCCAAGGAGGUGGGAGGACGUCCCAAGGCAGCCUAAAACUAAAUCUAGGUCGUACAAGGCCAAUGGGCCCAAGUGGAGGUGAUGUAACACCUUUGGACUUGUAGUUUGACUCGGAUUCUGCUGCAGCAUCAAAUUGUUUCGUCCACAACUCAACGCUCCGGACGAAUUUGAAGGUGAUUCCAAUUGGGUUGGAAAGUGCACGAAAUCUAGUUUCCAACAAAAAAAGAAUCACCCAAUUCGGAGUCCGUAUGAAAAACUUGUGUGCGUUUUGAGUCAGGUGUGUCUGUGCAGUCCGAAUCUGAAUCCAGAACGUGAGAGACUUGGACUCUAUCUUCUCUUGGGCCAAAAGUGACGUGCGAGAACUUUUUGGACAGCAAAUAAACAUCUCUUUCUUCCUUAUCUUCAUAUGUGGAUUAUACAAAUGUCCCAUACACCUGCAAUUAGACAAAACAUAAAAGUGUGUGAAGUAUUUUUGUUCUGGAUAACAUAAAUAGAUUAUUGAAUAGUUUGCACUAGAAAUCACCUGACAAAUAUGCAUAUCUGCAAUAUUUUUGGUCAUAUCCAAGGUAGUCAUGUCCUCAUCAUCCUCCCCUUCUUGAAAAUAAAGCCGUCCUCGGCGUUGCUUAAUCUGAAAUGUGGCUAACAAAAGAGGCAAGGUGUACAUGUUGUAUAUGUAUAUGUCAUCCAUUUUUACUUCCCUUGAAUUUUGCAUAUAUGACACAUGAAUAGAUGAGUAACUUGCAUAGUUCAUAAAAUCUAAAGCCAAAAAAUUAGCACAAGAAGUAGAAGGCAUGAAAAUAUUGCAACUCAGUUUGCACAUAUAAGUGAAUCUCUUAUUCAUUUCAAAAGAUUGACAAUGUUCAUCAUUAAACCAUCCCAACAUUGGUGAAUAAACCUUACUUGCAUCAAAUUUACAUGCUACAACAUGCUUAAAUAAGCAAACAUGCAAUAAGUCAUUCAACACAGAAUCAUCACCAAGAUUAGAGGUCAUAUCAAAAUGAUUAAACAUUGGUUCUUUUGCAUCAAUAGUUAAUUCAAUGGGUGCACUCAAAAUUGUUGGUAUUUCAGUUGUUUGAUCACAUGACAAAGUCAAAUUAUCAACGUAGUCCUCUAAAAUAGGUGGUGUGAUCAAAGUAGUGGGUAGCUCAUCAGAUGGUGCAUUCAAAUUGACAAGGCAUUCAUCAUUCUCAUGUAGAGAUGGAAGAUCAAUACCUUUGUCAUUACCUCUUAUGAUCAACUCAGAUGAUGGAGCCACUCUCGGGGGCGAUGUGUCACAUGGUGGAGGUGAUGUAGUCCUGACAACAACGGAUGUGGUUGUCAUAGUAUGCCUAGUAGUUGAAGGAACAACCAUAUCAACUCUUGGAAUGUGCACAGUGCGCUUGUUCUCCUCGUGGCCAACACGUCGUUUUAUUUCCUGUUCAGCUUUGCAAGCAAGAUGAAACAAAUGGUCCAUAGGAUAACACUCUUCAUGAAUUAGUAUCUCUUGAAUAUCACAGUUUAAUCCUCCCCAAAAUCUAUCCAUAAAAUCAUCUUCACUUUCUUCUAAAGAGGAAUGCAACAAGGUAGUUUGUAAAUCAUCAUAAUAUUUUGUUAUAGUUUCACUACCUUGUUUUAAGUGUUGCAACUUCUUAAUCAUGUCACGAGUAUAAUAAGCAGGGACGAAAGUAUGUCGCAUGGCAAGUUUCAAAUCAUCCCAAGUAGUAGGUAUAUAAUCAGGGUGUAACCGACAAUAUUCACUCCACCAAACCAAAGCAUAACCAGUGAAAGAACCAACCGCAACCUUAACCUUUUUAUGUUCAUCGAAAUUAUGGGAAGCAAAUAUAUUUUUUAUGUCGAACUCCCAUUCAAUAUAUAAAGCAGGUUUAAAACGGCCAUUAAAUGGUGGUAUAGAUACAUUAACCUGAUCAUGUGCAUUUGGAUGUUUGUGCACCUCUCGUGACGGUUGUGGUAUUUGCAAAGGUGGUGGCACGUCUCCCGCGAUCGACGAAGCCCAUGAAUUGACUCUGGAUCCUGUCAUGAUUAGUAGAACAAGAAACAAAACUCAAAAAUAAUGUUCCUAUAACUACUAGGAUGUGGUGGUAAAACGCUCACUGUAAAGCAAAUAUCAAUGUCUUACACGUUCUUACCAUGCAGCAGGCGGUAAUCGGCAACCAGCGGUGUCAAGUAACUCCGAAUAUUGAGUAAAGCGAUUGCCAGGGGAGCGUACGUAUACACGGUGUAGAAACAUGUGGAGCUGGGUUGGCUAUAUAUGGUAGCAAAAGAUUAGCAAUAAUCAAUUCAAAGAUGCAAUGUUGAAUAAACGCUCAACGACGGUACUGUGCUGGUCCUAGGCUAGACCGGACUAGAGACGCGAGCCUAGAACACUAAUAAGGUCACGGCGUAGCACAACUAGCAUCAAUGAAGGAUACUAAGUAGCUCUUGACAGCAAGAUAUAAGUGAAGAUCACAACGGCAGUGAAGAUAAUGAUGAAAAACAACUGCCAAGCAGGAUAUACAACAACUCUCUCUCCAACUUUCCUCUUGAAAAGUUUGAGACAAUUUUCUGAUAAAUUCUUUCAAAGAAUGCUACUAACUCAAGCUUUCCAAUGCAAAAAGAAUCACUCAAUUCCGAGUUGAUAUGAGGAGUCAAAGAAUUCUAAAACUGGCCUGAAAAAUUGGAACAAGCUGUGUUCACGAACUUCGGAGGGAAAAAAGACCUAUUUAGAAGCCGAUUUUGAGGUGUCAAAUAUUGAACUAGCUUCUGCAACUAUUUAGAUGCGGCUCGUCGCUAUCUUCAAUUUGAGUACCCACGGAGCCAAAACGGACUUCGUAUGAGGAAGAUACACCUGUUUUACUGAACAGUGCGCAAAACAGAUUCCAAUCCGAAUUCAGGUACGAGAUUGAUUCUAGAUAGAUCCAAUUUUUUUUCUUCUCUCUUUUUUUUUCUCACGCUUUUUUUUUCUUUUCCUUUCUUUUUUUUUUCUCUGACUUUUUUUUUACUUUUUUUUCUCUCGUUUUUUUUCUCUAUCUUUUUUUUUCUCUCUCCCUCUUUUCAAAACAAACUAGAUAAGAUGUAGAUUGGAUCAAGCGAAGAUGGGAACGAUCUCAACUAUGAUUAUGACAAUGAAUGGUGGGUAGCACGUGGAGGAAAUUGAUGGAUGGGUGAUGGACAGCGGAAGGGAUAAUGAUGCAGCGGCGACGUGACUAAUGUGAACAGAACUCGAAACUCUAAACGACCUAGACACUAAGACCAGCAACUCGACACGACGAUGCAACCGAUAAUUCAACUAUGCAAGCAAUGAAAAGAAAAUUGCAAAGGCUCAGACUGGCUUGGACCAAGGAUGAAUAGAUCUAACUCUUUUUUGUGGCUUUUUCUUGGACAAUAGGUAAGAAAAUAAAUCUAAUCUAGGAAAACUGGAAAUUCUCACCGAGCAACCUGAAAACUGAUACCACUUGAUAGAGGCGAGGGUCCCGAUCUUUCGAUGAGAUGAUAACUAUCGAUUUGGUGGAGACGACUUUGACAAUCCGACUACAAACGUGCACGACGUUGCGCCUUAGCAAUCGCUAAACCAAUCUCCUGAGGUUACUGACGAUGCUGGAAGCACGGUCAGCCUGACCACGAAGGUCUAUUCCUGCAAGCAAUCGAAGAACGAGCAAGAAUAUGAUAAAGCAAUCUGAAUAUUGCAAAUAUAUAUGAGGUAUUGAUAAUGGUGGGGAUCCGUAAGCGGUCUUGGUCUGGUCGUUGGACACAAACGAAGUACACGAAGUUGCAAUGGCUAACUUUCAACUAAACAGAUCCCAAGGAAAAGCUACUAGAUGGAUCUACUUAUAUAGGAGCAAGGGGUGGCGGCCAAGGAGGUGGGAGGACGUCCCAAGGCAGCCUAAAACUAAAUCUAGGUCGUACAAGGCCAAUGGGCCCAAGUGGAGGUGAUGUAACACCUUUGGACUUGUAGUUUGACUCGGAUUCUGCUGCAGCAUCAAAUUGUUUCGUCCACAACUCAACGCUCCGGACGAAUUUGAAGGUGAUUCCAAUUGGGUUGGAAAGUGCACGAAAUCUAGUUUCCAACAAAAAAAGAAUCACCCAAUUCGGAGUCCGUAUGAAAAACUUGUGUGCGUUUUGAGUCAGGUGUGUCUGUGCAGUCCGAAUCUGAAUCCAGAACGUGAGAGACUUGGACUCUAUCUUCUCUUGGGCCAAAAGUGACGUGCGAGAACUUUUUGGACAGCAAAUAAACAUCUCUUUCUUCCUUAUCUUCAUAUGUGGAUUGUACAAAUGUCCCAUACACCUGCAAUUAGACAAAACAUAAAAGUGUGUGAAGUAUUUUUGUUCUGGAUAACAUAAAUAGAUUAUUGAAUAGUUUGCACUAGAAAUCACCUGACAAAUAUGCAUAUCUGCAAUAUUUUUGGUCAUAUCCAAGGUAGUCAUGUCCUCAUCAACGCCGGAGCACGAUCAACCUGACCACGAGGGUCUGUUUCCUGCGAGCAAACGAAGAACAAGCAAGAAACUAAGAUUGCAAUCUGGAUAUUGCGAAUAUAAGAUGAAAGCUUUAUUGAUCAAGGUGGGGUUCUGUGACGCCUUUGUCUGGUCGUUGAACACAAACAAAGUACGCGAAGUUGCAGCUAUGGCGAACUUUUAAUAUAAACAAAACCCAAAGUCUAAACGAUGCCCUAAGGGCUGUAUAUAUGGAGGAAGAGGGGGGAAUUUCGUGGCCCUUGGUGGAGGGGUCCGAAUCAACCCUAUCUCUUGUUUUCCCACACAUACGGACUCUAAAAAUAGCCUAUACUUAUGUAUUUCGAAAUUACAUGGGCCUGGCCCAAUAAUAAGGUGACGCAGCACCUAAAAUAGCCUCGGAACAAAAUUUAUGAAGUGGCAUCUUGUAUAUUUCGUCCAAGGCUUCAUGCACCCAUUAUGGUGGCUUCAAAGUCCUGAAAUCAUCACUUGUAACUCCGUUCUUGUUCCCCUUGCGCAUGCCAUCAUCUCCAUGCUUGUUCUUGCUCCAAUGUUCAUCCUUCUCCAAGCUAGGCCCUUCAUUUGUAAGCAAAACAAAUGUAUCCAAUUUAGGCAGCAUCAUAUUCUCAUGAACAUUAGAAUCAUUACCAAGAAACGAAAGUACCUGGUAAUUUAGUUGGCGUGUACGAGCUCUAGUAAUUGGUCCAGUAUGUAUAGCAGCAGGGGCUGUGGGUGUAACAAUUGUAUUGAUGUCCUCAUCAUCCUCCCCUUCUUGAAAUGAAGUCGUCCCCGACGGAAGUUCAUCUUCCUCACCCAAAUAAGGCUUCAAAUCUGCAAUGUUAAAAGUGGGACUAACCCCAAAAUCUGCAGGCAGCUCAAGUUUAUAUGCAUUAUCAUUUAUUUUCUCUAACACCUUAAAGGGACCAUCAGCACGUGGCAUUAGCUUUGAUUUGCGCAAAUCAGGAAAUCUAUCCUUACGCAAAUGUAACCAAACAAGAUCUCCAGGUGCAAACACAACAUGUUUUCUACUCUUAUCUCCAGCAAGUUUAUAUUUAGCAUUCAUACGCUCAAUGUUUUCCUUAGUUAACUCAUGCAUUUUUAAAAUCAAUUCAGCACGUUGUUUAGCAUCAAAAUUAACCUUCUCCGAAGAUGGAAGAGGCAACAAAUCAAUAGGUGCACGAGGUAGGAAACCAUACACAACUUCAAAAGGGCACAUCUUAGUAGUAGAAUGCAAUGAACGAUUAUAAGCAAAUUCAAUAUGAGGCAAGCAUUCCUCCCACAUUUUCUUAUUAUUCUUCAUAACAGCCCUAAGCAUAGUAGACAACGUUCUAUUGACUACUUCAGUUUGUCCAUCAGUUUGGGGGUGACAAGUAGUACUAAAAAGCAGUUUAGUCCCCAACUUAGCCCAUAAACAUCUCCAAAAGUGGCUAAGAAAUUUAGUAUCACGAUCUGAAACAAUAGUAUUUGGCACACCAUGCAAGCGAAUAAUUUCACGAAAGAACAAAUCAGCAACAUUAACAGCAUCAUCGCUUUUAUGACAUGGUAUAAAGUGUGCCAUUUUCGAGAAUCUAUCCACGACAACAAAUAUGCUAUCCCUCCCCUUCUUUGUUCGAGGUAAACCUAAAACAAAGUCCAUAGAUAUAUCCUCCCAAGGAACACUAGGUACAGGCAAAGGCAUAUAUAAACCAUGAGGAUUGAGUCGUGACUUAGCUUUUUGACAUGUAGUGCAGCGAGCAAUAAAACGCUUAACAUCCCGUCUCAUCUUUGGCCAAAAGAAAUGUGUAGCAAGUACGUCCUCCGUCUUCUUCACGCCAAAGUGUCCCAUUAAUCCUCCUCCAUGCGCCUCCUGCAACAACAGAAGACGAACGGAGCUAGCUGGAAUGCAUAGCUUGUUAGCACAAAACACAAAUCCAUCGUUAACAACAAACUUGUUCCACAUUCUUCCUUCUUUACAAUUCUGCAUUACAUCUUUAAAAUCAGCAUCAUGCACAUAUUGAUCUUUGAUGGUCUCCAAACCAAAUAUUUUGAAGUCAAGUUGUGAAAGCAUAGUAUAGCGACGAGACAAUGCAUCAGCAAUAACAUUUUCUUUUCCCUUCUUGUGUUUAAUGACAUAAGGGAAAGUCUCAAUGAAUUCAACCCAUUUAGCAUGUUUAUGAUUCAGUUUAGCUUGACUUUUAAUAUGUUUCAAAGAUUCAUGAUCAGAAUGUAUAACAAAUUCUUUGGGCCAUAAAUAAUGUUGCCAUGUUUCUAAAGUCCGAACAAGAGCAUAUAAUUCUUUAUCAUAAGUAGAAUAAUUCAGACUAGGCCCACUCAAUUUUUCAGAAAAGUAUGCAACAGGUUUGCCAUCUUGUAAUAACACACCUCCUAAUCCAAUUCCACUAGCAUCACAUUCAAGCUCAAAAGUCUUAUUAAAAUCAGGAAGUUGGAGUAAAGGAGCAUGUGUCAACUUAUCUUUCAAUACCGUGAAGGCUUCUUCCUGUGCGGUACCCCAAAGAAAAGGCACAUCUUUCUUUGUAAGCUCAUUGAGAGGUGCAGCAAUGGUGCUGAAAUCUCUCCCAAAACGCCUAUAGAAUCCAGCGAGGCCAAGAAAACUCCUCACUUGUGUGACCGUUUUGGGCUGCGGCCAACUCUCAAUAGCUUCAAUCUUGGCUUUAUCAACUUCAAUUCCCUGUGGAGUAACAACAUAGCCAAGAAAAGAUACUCGGUCGGUGCAAAAGGUGCACUUCCCAAGGUUACCAAACAAACGUGCAUCACGUAGAGCAAUAAAAACAGCACGUAAAUGUUCCAAAUGUUCCUCCAAAGAUCUGCUAUAAAUCAAUAUGUCAUCAAAGUAAACUACCACAAAUCGUCCAAUGAAAGCACGUAAAACUUCGUUCAUUAAUCUCAUGAAAGUACUAGGUGCAUUAGUUAACCCAAAAGGCAUGACUAACCACUCAUAUAAUCCAAACUUAGUUUUAAAUGCUGUUUUCCAUUCAUCUCCCAAUUUCAUACGAAUUUGAUGGUAGCCACUACGCAAAUCAACUUUGGAGAAUAUUGUAGAGCCACUCAAUUCAUCAAGCAUAUCAUCUAGCCUAGGAAUAGGAUGACGAUAACGAAUAGUAAUAUUAUUAAUGCAUCUACAAUCAACACACAUACGUGAUGUACCAUCCUUUUUCGGCACUAGAAUAAUAGGAACAGCACAAGGACUACGGGAUUCGCGUAUAUAACCUUUGUCGAGAAGCUCUUGUACUUGACGCAUAAUCUCCUUCGUCUCCUCUGGAUUGGUACGGUAUGGUGCACGGUUUGGCAGUGAAGCACCGGGAAUUAAGUCAAUCUGAUGCUCAAUCCCUCGAAUAGGCGGUAAUCCCGGUGGCACGUCUUGUGGAAAAACGUCAGCGAACUCCUGCAAAAUGUUAGUGACAGCAGGAGGCAAAGAAGAAGGCACGUCCUCGAAUGAAAAUAAUGCCUCUUUGCACACAAAAGCAUAGCAAACAGAUUUGCUGAAAUCUAGCUCAUCAAUAUCAGAUUUGGUGGCAAAUAAACAUGCACUUUUCAAUUUAAUUUCAGAAGCAACACUAGAUGGUUUAUUAUUAGGCUUCAUUUGUUGCUCAAAUUCUUUUGCCACAAUCUGAUUUUCACUCUUAUUCGUCUCCUGUUUUGCUUUAUUAGCUCUAUUAAUAUCAUCUUUCAAAAUGGAAUCAGGAGUCAUAGGAAGCAAAGUAAUAUUUUUAUCCUUAUGAACAAGAGUAUAGUGAUUGUUUCUACCAUGGUGUACAGAAUUUUUAUCAAAUUGCCAUGGUCAACCAAGUAAUAAGGAACAUGCUUGCAUAGGUACCACAUCACAAUCAACAUAAUCAGCAUAUGUAGAGAUACUAAAAUGCACACGAACAGUACGUGUUAUGAUGAGGACAUCAAUACAAUUGUUACACCCACAGCCCCUGCUGCUAUACAUACUGGACCAAUUACUAGAGCUCGUGCACGCCAACUAAAUUACCAGGUACUUUCGUUUCUUGGUAAUGAUUCUAAUGUUCAUGAGAAUAUGAUGCUGCCUAAAUUGGAUACAUUUGUUUUGCUUACAAAUGAAGGGCCUAGCUUGGAGAAGGAUGAACAUUGGAGCAAGAACAAGCAUGGAGAUGAUGGCAUGCGCAAGGGGAACAAGAACGGAGUUACAAGUGAUGAUUUCAGGACUCUGAAGCCACCAUAAUGGGUGCAUGAAGCCUUGGACGAAAUAUACAAGAUGCCACUUCAUAAAUUUCGUCCCGAGGCUAUUUUAGGUGCUGCGUCACCUUAUUAUUGGGCCAGGCCCAUGUAAUUUCGAAAUACAUAAGUAUAGGCUAUUUUUAGAGUCCGUAUGUGUGGGGAAACAAGAGAUAGGGUUGAUUUCGGAUCCCUCCACCAAGGGCCACGAAAUUCCCCCCCUCUUCCUCCAUAUAUACAGCCCUUAGGGCAUCGUUUAGACUUUGGGUUUUGUUUAGAUUAAAAGUUCGCCAUAGCUGCAACUUCGCGUACUUCGUUUGUGUUCAACGACCAGACAAAGGCGUCACAGAACCCCACCUUGAUCAAUAAAGUUUUCAUCUUAUAUUCGCAAUAUCCAGAUUGCAAUCUCAGUUUCUUGCUUGUUCUUCGUUUGCUCGCAGGAAACAGACCCUCGUGGUCAGGUUGAUCGUGCUCCGGCGUGGUCAAUAACCUCUCGGAGUUGGUUUAGCGAUUGCUAAGGCGCGACGUCCUCGCACGUUCGUAGUCGGAUCGUCAAAGUCGUCUCCACCAAAUCGAUAGUUAUCAUCUCAUCGAAAGAUCGGGACACCCCGCCUCUAUCAUCUACAUAGGCUGAUUAUGUUGAUUGUGAUGUGGUACCUAUGCAAGCAUGUUCCUUAUUACUUGGUAGACCAUGGCAAUUUGAUAAAAAUUCUGUACACCAUGGUAGAAACAAUCACUAUACUCUUGUUCAUAAGGAUAAAAAUAUUACUUUGCUUCCUAUGACUCCUGAUUCCAUUUUGAAAGAUGAUAUUAAUAGAGCUAAUAAAGCAAAACAGGAGACGAAUAAGAGUGAAAAUCAGAUUGUGGCAAAAGAAUUUGAGCAACAAAUGAAGCCUAAUAAUAAACCAUCUAGUGUUGCUUCUGAAAUUAAAUUGAAAAGUGCAUGUUUAUUUGCCACCAAAUCUGAUAUUGAUGAGCUAGAUUUCAGCAAAUCUGUUUGCUAUGCUUUUGUGUGCAAAGAGGCAUUAUUUUCAUUCGAGGACGUGCCUUCUUCUUUGCCUCCUGCUGUCACUAACAUUUUGCAGGAGUUCGCUGACGUUUUUCCACAAGACGUGCCACCGGGAUUACCGCCUAUUCGAGGGAUUGAGCAUCAGAUUGACUUAAUUCCCGGUGCUUCACUGCCAAACCGUGCACCAUACCGUACCAAUCCAGAGGAGACGAAGGAGAUUAUGCGUCAAGUACAAGAGCUUCUCGACAAAGGUUAUAUACGCGAAUCCCGUAGUCCUUGUGCUGUUCCUAUUAUUCUAGUGCCGAAAAAGGAUGGUACAUCACGUAUGUGUGUUGAUUGUAGAUGCAUUAAUAAUAUUACUAUUCGUUAUCGUCAUCCUAUUCCUAGGCUAGAUGAUAUGCUUGAUGAAUUGAGUGGCUCUACAAUAUUCUCCAAAGUUGAUUUGCGUAGUGGCUACCAUCAAAUUCGUAUGAAAUUGGGAGAUGAAUGGAAAACAGCAUUUAAAACUAAGUUUGGAUUAUAUGAGUGGUUAGUCAUGCCUUUUGGGUUAACUAAUGCACCUAGUACUUUCAUGAGAUUAAUGAACGAAGUUUUACGUGCUUUCAUUGGACGAUUUGUGGUAGUUUACUUUGAUGACAUAUUGAUUUAUAGCAGAUCUUUGGAGGAACAUUUGGAACAUUUACGUGCUGUUUUUAUUGCUCUACGUGAUGCACGUUUGUUUGGUAACCUUGGGAAGUGCACCUUUUGCACCGACCGAGUAUCUUUUCUUGGCUAUGUUGUUACUCCACAGGGAAUUGAAGUUGAUAAAGCCAAGAUUGAAGCUAUUCAGAGUUGGCCGCAACCCAAAAGGGUCACACAAGUGAGGAGUUUUCUUGGCCUCGCUGGAUUCUAUAGGCGUUUUGUGAGAGAUGAUGAGGACAUCAAUACAAUUGUUACACCCACAGCCCCUGCUGCUAUACAUACUGGACCAAUUACUAGAGCUCGUGCACGCCAACUAAAUUACCAGGUACUUUCGUUUCUUGGUAAUGAUUCUAAUGUUCAUGAGAAUAUGAUGCUGCCUAAAUUGGAUACAUUUGUUUUGCUUACAAAUGAAGGGCCUAGCUUGGAGAAGGAUGAACAUUGGAGCAAGAACAAGCAUGGAGAUGAUGGCAUGCGCAAGGGAAACAAGAACGGAGUUACAAGUGAUGAUUUCAGGACUUUGAAGCCACCAUAAUGGGUGCAUGAAGCCUUGGACGAAAUAUACAAGACGCCACUUCAUAAAUUUCGUCCCGAGGCUAUUUUAGGUGCUGCGUCACCUUAUUAUUGGGCCAGGCCCAUGUAAUUUCGAAAUACAUAAGUAUAGGCUAUUUUUAGAGUCCGUAUGUGUGGGGAAACAAGAGAUAGGGUUGAUUUCGGACCCCUCCACCAAGGGCCACGAAAUUCCCCCCCUCUUCCUCCAUAUAUACAACCCUUAGGGCAUCGUUUAGACUUUGGGAUUUGUUUAGUUAAAAGUUAGCCAUUGCAACUUCGUGUACUUCGUUUGUGUCCAACGACCAGACCAAGACCGCUUACGGAUCCCCACCAUUAUCAAUACCUCAAAUAUAUUUGCAAUAUUCAGAUUGCUUUAUCAUAUUCUUGCUCGUUCUUCGAUUGCUUGCAGGAAUAGACCUUCAUGGUCAGGCUGACCGUGCUUCCGGCAUCGUCAGUAACCUCAGGAGAUUGGUUUAGCGAUUGCUAAGGCGCAACGUCGUGCACGUUUGUAGUCGGAUCGUCAAAGUCGUCUCCACCAAAUCGAUAGUUAUCAUCUCAUCGAAAGAUCGGGACACCCUCGCCUCUAUCAGCAGGCCCCGCAGGUGCGCUCUUGGCAGAUAAUGGUGGUUGUGCCUGUUUUCUUGUAUCACGGCUGGAGGUGGCACCGGAUGGAGGUGCUGGUGCAGUUGAAGUAGAAGAUGCACGUGGUGUCCAUGAUGAAGGUCGGCCUGCAGAAAAGUUAGUUCGCCCCAAUGCUUGUCGAUCCUGCACUUCACGUUCAGCUUUACAAGCAAGAUGGAAUAAACGAGUGAUAUUAGUAUACUCCUUAUAGUCUAGAAUGGUCUGAAUCUCUCUAUUUAAUCCACCCAGAAAACGUGCAAGCAUAGCUUCAUUCUCCUCAACAAUACCACAUAUAAUCAUGCCAGUUUGUAAUUCCUGAUAAUAUUCUUCUACAGAAUUUUUCCAUUGUCUUAAACGCUGCAAUUUUUGAAGCAAUUCACGUUGAUAAUAUGGUGGAACCCAACGCGUACGCAUAGCAGUUUUCAAAGCAGCCCAAGUAGUUGGAAUAGGAUAUAAUCUACAAUGUUCAGACCACCAUACACAUGCAAAACUAGUGAAAGCACAAACAGCAGCAGCAACUCGUCUCUCCUCAGGAUAUUGUAAACAUGUAAAUCGUUGUUCAGUUUCUAACUCCCAAGUAAGAUAUAUAUCAGGAACAUAUCUACCCUCAAAUGGUGGAAUAUUCAAUUUCAGUUUAGGAAUAUGGACAUCAUCUCGUACCUGAGGUGGUGGUGCAGGCCUACCAUUACGAAUAUAUACCUGAGGUCGACCUGCUGGUGGUGGUGCUGGUGGCUGCUCGUAGAUCUGAUUUUGAUCAACCUCAUCCUCAUAAUCGCCUGCAUACUCAUCAUCCUCCUGGGUACCAGCAACAGCAAUAGCAGGAGCCACAGAAGUAUCAACAGCAGCACCAACAGUUUGGCCAAACGCAAGAGGAACACGGCUCGCUCGGCGAAGGUCUAUUUCGCGACGUGGAGGUAGUCGUUGUUGUUGUUGUUGGAGAGGUGCGUUAGGUGCAGCGGGUGGUAGUGGUGGAAGACGUGCGAGCAAUUCAUUAAAUCUGUUAUCGAGCUUUGUUUCGAACGUCUUCUCAAGGCCAGUGAUCUUCUCCAUGGCCUCUUCAAAAUUGUUCAGCACAUCUUGCACCUGUUCAGUCAUCAUUUGCUGAAACUUAUCAUGAAGCUCCUUGUUCGAUAAAUUCGCCCAGUCAAUCUCGUCGGCUUGUGAUCCUGGCAUGGUUAGCAGCAAUAGAAACACACAAGAAUAUGAUCCUACAGACUACUAACAAGUGGUGGUGGUGGGUGUCACAAAUCCGUCAAGCAAAACUCAAAUUCUUACCAGUUCUUACCCAGCAACAGGCGGUGAUCGGCAACCGUUGUAGUCAAAACUCUCAAAGCUUGGAUAGAGCGAUUACCAGGGAGAGUCAAACGCACGACGUAGAUGUAUGUGAAGCUGGGAAGGCUUAUACUAUGGUAGCAAAAAGGGUCAGCAAUAAUCAAUUCAGAGAUGCAAAGUUGAAUAAACGCGCAACGACGGUACUGUGCUGGUCCUAGGCUAGACUGUGCUAGAGACGCGAGCCUAGAACACCAACAAAAUCACGGCGCGGCACGUAAACAAGGGGAAAGCACACUCUGAAUUUUUUUUCGCUCUUUUUUUUUGCGCUCUUUUCUUUUGCGCUGCUUUUUUUUUGCGAAAAAUCACUAUAAUGGCGAGUAUCUCAAAACUCUUCCUAGCUCAAACUGACAGGAUGGGCACGAAAUUUUUUGACCAAUUUUUUUUUUUCGACUGCUCGGACCCAAAAACUGGAAACGGGUCAAAAAAACUUCCUAUAAUGGCACCUGUCUCAAAACACUCAGAAACACCUAAAAAUAGGAUAGCCAGAAAUUUUUUCGAAAAAUGCGUUUUCGAAAAAUUUUGGGCCUAAACGGAGCGUGGCUACCCGACUCUUUUUUUUUCCGAAACCUACUCCGGCAAGGAAACACGAAUCGGAAUCUAGAUGGAUCCCGAAAACAAACCUAAUAAGCAAGGAACUCGGAUUGGUGGUGGAUAUAUGGUGGUGGUAUAUGGCAGCGGUGGUGGUAGCGGUGGUAGUAUAUGGAUAUGGAUCGGUGGUGGUAUAUGGGCACGGAUUGGUGGUGGUAUAUGGAUACGGAUUCGGAGCGGUGGUGGUAGCUGGCAGGGGCGAUGAUGAUGGUGCGGCGGCGGCGUGACAACUGAUGAACAGAACUCGAAACUCUAAAAGACCAGACUCUAAGACCAGCAACUAGACCGACGAUGCAACCGCAAAUUCAACAAAGCAAAACCCUAAAAAGAUUAUGCAAAGGCUCAGAUUGGUUCGGAUAUGAUGAACUAACCCUAUUUUUUUGUGUGGCUUUUUCGUGGACUGUAGGUAUGAAGAACAGACUCGAUCUAAACUACGAAAAACUGUAAAACCUCAUCGAGCAACCUGGAAAUCUGAUACCACUUGAUAGAGGCAAAGGUGUCCCGUCUUUCGAUGAGAUGAUGGAUAUCGCUUUGGUGGAAGUCGACUUUGACGAUCCGACUACGAACGUGCGAGGACGUCGCGCCUUAGCAAUCGCUAAACCAACUCCGAGAGGUUAUUGACCACGCCGGAGCACGAUCAACCUGACCACGAGGGUCUGUUUCCUGCGAGCAAACGAAGAACAAGCAAGAAACUAAGAUUGCAAUCUGGAUAUUGCGAAUAUAAGAUGAAAGCUUUAUUGAUCAAGGUGGGGUUCUGUGACGCCUUUGUCUGGUCGUUGAACACAAACGAAGUACGCGAAGUUGCAGCUAUGGCGAACUUUUAAUCUAAACAAAACCCAAAGUCUAAACGAUGCCCUAAGGGCUGUAUAUAUGGAGGAAGAGGGGGGAAUUUCCUGUCCCUUGGUGGAGGGGUCCGAAAUCAACCCUAUCUCUUGUUUCCCCACACAUACGGACUCUAAAAAUAGCCUAUACUUAUGUAUUUCGAAAUUACAUGGGCCUGGCCCAAUAAUAAGGUGACGCAGCACCUAAAAUAGCCUCGGAACGAAAUUUAUGAAGUGGCAUCUUGUAUAUUUCAUCCAAGGCUUCAUGCACCCAUUAUGGUGGCUUCAAAGUCCUGAAAUCAUCACUUGUAACUCUGUUCUUGUUCCCCUUGCGCAUGCCAUCAUCUCCAUGCUUGUUCUUGCUCCAAUGUUCAUCCUUCUCCAAGCUAGGCCCUUCAUUUGUAAGCAAAACAAAUGUAUCCAAUUUAGGCAGCAUCAUAUUCUCAUGAACAUUAGAAUCAUUACCAAGAAACGAAAGUACCUGGUAAUUUAGUUGGCGUGCACGAGCUCUAGUAAUUGGUCCAGUAUGUAUAGCAGCAGGGGCUAUGGGUGUAACAAUUGUAUUGAUGUCCUCAUCAGAUUCGGUCUCUUUGCUCGAAGCUUCGUUUUCGAAACUUUCAUUUGUUGCUCAAAUUCUUUUGCUAAAAUCUGAUUUUCACUCUUAUUUUUCUCCUGUUUUGCUUUAUUAGCUCUAUUAAUAUCAUCUUUCAAUAUGGAUUCAGGAGUCAUACGAAGCAAAGUAAUAUUUUUAUCCUUAUGAACAAGAGUAUACUGAUUGUUUCUACCAUGGUGUACAGAAUUUUUAUCAAAUUGUCAUGGUCUACCAAGUAACAAGGAACAUGCUUGCAUAGGUACCACAUCACAAUCAACAUAAUCGGCAUAUGUAUAGAUACUAAAAUGCACACGAACAGUACGUGUUACCUUAACCUUGCCGUUGUUGUUGAACCAUUGGAUGUAGUACGGAUGUGGAUGUGGUCUUGUGGUGAGAGAUAGUUUCUCCACCAUCUCCAUGCUAGCCAAGUUAUUGCAGCUCCCUCCAUCUAUGAAGACGCGAACAGAACGUUCCUUCACAACGUCCUUUGUAUGGAACAAAUUAUGCCUCUGAUUUUGCUCAGCUUGUGUAACCUGCACACUCAAAACACGUUGCUCUUGAGCAACUAAACAUUCAUACCUGUCAGCAUCUUCAGCAGCCAUGUUUUGCGUCUCAUGAUCAGAAUCCUCUCCCCCGUGUUCUUCAUGUGUAAUAAGAGCCAAAGUCUCCUCAUCAUAGUCACUAGCGGACUCAUACCCACCAUCCUCAGUAGCAACCAUCACGCGCUGAGAUUGGCAUUCUCUCGCAAAAUGUCCUCUUCCCUUACAACGACGACAAAUAAUAUCACUUGUGUGCCCUGUUGAUGCCAUGGAAGAAGAAGAAGAGCUCUGCGCAGGUCCGGCAGCUGUGCUCUUGGCAGAUAGUGGUGGUUGUGCCUGCUUUCUUGUAUCACGGCUGGAGGUGGCACCUGAUGGAGGUUCUCGUGGAGUGGAAGUAGAGGAUGCACGUGGUGUCCAUGAUGAAGAUCGACCAGCAGAAAAGUUAGUUCGCGCCAAUACAUGUUGAUCCUGCACUUCACGUUCAGCUUUACAAGCAAGAUGGAAUAAACGAGUGAUAUUAGUAUACUCCUUAUAGUCUAGAAUGGUCUGAAUCUCUUUAUUUAAUCCACUCAGAAAACGUGCAAGCAUAGCUUCAUUCUCCUCAACAAUACCACAUCUAAUCAUGCCAGUUUGUAAUUCCUGAUAAUAUUCUUCUACAGAAUUUUUCCCUUGUCUUAAACGCUGCAAUUUUUGAAGCAAUUCACGUUGAUAAUAUGGUGGAACCCAACGCGUACGCAUAGCAGUUUUCAAAGCAGCCCAAGUAGUUGGAAUAGGAUAUAAUCUACAAUGUUCAGACCACCAUACACAUGCAAAACUAGUGAAAGCACAAACAGCAGCAGCAACUCGUCUCUCCUCAGGAUAUUGUAAACAUGUAAAUCGUUGUUCAGUUUCUUACUCCCAAGUAAGAUAUAUAUCAGGAACAUAUCUACCCUCAAAUGGUGGAAUAUUCAAUUUUAGUUUAGGAAGAUGGUCAUGUACCUCAGGUGGUGGUGCAGCCCUACCGUUGCGAUGAUAUGCAUGAGGACGACCUAGUGGUGCUGGUGCUGGUGGUUGCACGUAGUUCUGAUUUUGAUCAACCUCAUCCUCGUAAUGGUCUUCCACCUCUGCAGUAGCAGCAGGAGCGACAGAAGCACCAACAGUAGGUAUAGCAGCACCAGAAGUUUGACCAGGCUCAAUGGGAACACGUUGUGCUCGUCCCACUUGAUUUGGAAGACGAUGUUGUUGUUGUUGUUGUAGAGGUGCGACAGGUGCAACGGGCAGUGGAAGACGCGCGAGCAAUUCAUUAAACGUGUGAUCAAGCUUUGUUUCGAAUGCCUUCUCAAUGCCAUCUAUCUUCUCCAUGGCCUCUUCAAAUCUAUUUAGCACAUCUUCCACCUGUCCACUCAUCAUUUGCUGAAACUUAUCAUGUAACUCUUUGUUCGUCAUGUUCUUCCAGUCAGUCUCAUCGGCUUGUGAUCCUGCCAUGGUUAGCAGCAAUAGAAACACACAAGAAUAUGAUCCGACAGACUCCUAGUAAAUGGUGGACAAUCACAAAUCCGUCAAGCAAAUCUCAAAUUCCUACCAGUUCUUACCCAGCAGCAGGCGGUGAUCGGCAACCGUCGUAGUCAAAACUCUCAAAGCUUGGAUAGAGCGAUUACCAGGGAGAGUCAAACGCACGACGUAGAUGUAUGUGGAGCUAGGAAGGCUUAUAAUAUGGUAGCAAAAAGGGUCAGCAAUAAUCAAUUCAGAGAUGCAAAGUUGAAUAAACGCUCAACGACGGUACUGUGCUGGUCCUAGGCUAGACCAUACUAGAGACGCGAGCCUAGAACACUAACAAAAUCAUGGCGCUGCACGUAAACAAGGGAGGAGCACACUCAGAUUUUUUUCCUUUUUUUUCACUUUUUUCACUUUUUUCCUCUUUUUUUUUGCUCCGCAACAAAUUUUUUUCAAAAAAAAUCUACAAAUGUCCUAAAAACUGCCUAGCCAGAAUUUUCCAGACUUAGUUUUUUUUUUAGUUUGGAACUAUUUUUCUUCUGCGGAUGGCUCGAAAGUUGGGGAGUCCUACUCUGUCACGACUCGGAGUAUCGCGUGAUCCGAAAAUCAAAAACAAUGCAACAAUUACUGGACUCGGACUAGGACUGGUGGCGGAGAUGAAUCUGGUGGAAUCUCAGACUGGUGGCGGCGAUGAAUCUGGUGGAAAUCGGACUGGUGGCGGAUAUAUGUUGCAGGUGGACUCAGAUUGGCGUGAUGGCGGCGGAUACGUGGUGGCGUAUAUGGACUCGGAUUGGUGGUGAAUAUGGCAACAGCGAUGAUGAUGAUGCGGUGGUGAUAUAUGGCAGCGGCAACGUGACAACCUCUGAACAGAACUCGAAACUCUAAAGGACUAGACGCUAAGACCAGCAACUUGACACGACGAUGCAACCACAAAUUCAACAAAGCAAAUAUAGAAAAGAUUAUGCAAAGGCUCAGAUUGGUUCGGAUAGGAUGAACUAACCCUUUUUUUUGGCUUUUUCGUGGACUAUAGGUACGAAGAACAGACUCGAUCUAAACUACGAAAAACUGUAAAAUCUCACCGAGCAACCUGAAAAUCUGAUACCACUUGAUAGGGGCAAAGGUGUCCCGUCUUUCGAUGAGAUGGUGGCUAACGUUUUGGAGGAAGUCGACUUUGACAAUCCGACUACGAACGUGCGAGGACGUCGCGCCUUAGCAAUCGCUAAACCAACUCCGAGAGGUUAUUGACCAUGCCGGAGCACGAUCAACCUGACCACAAAGGUCUGUUUCCUGCAGGCAAACAAAGAACAAGCAAGAAACUGAGAUUGCAAUCUGGAUAUUGCGAAUAUAAGAUGAAAGCUUUAUUGAUCAAGGUGGGGUUCUGUGACGUCUUGGUCUGGUCAUUGGACACAAACGAAGUACGCAAAGUUGUAGCUAUGGCGAACUUUUAAUCUAAACAAAACCCCAAAGUCUAAACGACGCCCUAAGGGCUGUAUAUAUGGAAGAAGAGGGGGGAAUUUCGUGGCCCUUGGAGGAGGUGUCCGAAACCAACCCUAACUCUUGUUUCCCCACACAUACGGACUCUAAAAACAGCUUUUACUUAUGUAUUUCAAAAAUACAUGGGCCUGGCCCAAUAAUAAGGUGACGCAGCACCUAAAAUAGCCUCUGGACGAAACUUAUGAAGUUGCAUCUUGUAUAUUUCGUCCAAGGCUUCAUGCACUCCUUAUGGUGGCUUCAAAGUCCUGAAAUCAUCACUUGUAACUCCGUUCUUGAUUCCCUUGCGCAUGCCAUCAUCUCCAUGCUUGAUCUUACUCCAAGGUUCAUCUUUCUUGUCCAAGCUAGGCCCUUCAUUUUUAAGCAAAACAAAUGUAUCCAAUUUAGGCAGCAUCAUAUUCUCAUGAACAUUAGAAUCAUUACCAAGAAAUGAAAGUACCUGAUAAUUCAAUUGGCGUGCGCAAGCUCUAGUAAUUGGUCCAGUAUGUAUAGCAGCAGGGGCUGUGGGUGUAACAAUGGUAUUGAUGUCCUCAUCACUUCAUAUCUCUCAACUCGGGCAUUUGCUUGAAAUAUUAACUUCAACUCCUGGAACAUCUCAUAUGCUCCAACGUUCAAAACGUCUUUGAAGUCCCGAUUCUAAGCCGUAAAUCAUGGCACACUGAACUAUCGAGUAGUCAUCAGCUUUGCUCUGCCAUACGUUCAUAACAUCUGGAGUUGCUCCUGCAGCGGGUCUUGCACCUAGCGGUGCUUCCAGGACGUAAUUCUUCUGUGCAGCAAUGAGGAUAAUCCUCAAGUUAUGGACCCAGUCCAUGUAGUUGCUACCAUCAUCUUUCAACUUAGCUUUCUCUAGGAACGCAUUAAAAUUCAAGGGAAUAGUAGCACGGGCCAUUGAUCUACAACAACAUAGACAUGCAAAUACUAUCAGGUACUAAGUUCAUGAUAAAUUAAAGUUCAGGUAAUUAUAUUACUUAAGAACUCCCACUUAGAUAGACAUCCCUCUGGUCAUCUAAAUGAUCACGUGAUCCAUGUCAACUAAACCAUGUCCGAUCAUCAUGUGAGAUGGAGUGGUUUUCAAUGGUGAACAUCACUAUGUUGAUCACAUCUACUAUAUGAUUCACGUUCGACCUUUUGGUCUCAGUGUUCCGAGGCCAUAUCUGCAUAUGAUAGGCUCGUCAAGUUUAACCCGAGUAUUCUACAUGUGCAAAACUGGUUUGCACCCGUUGUAUGUGAACGUAGAGCUUAUCACACCCGAUCAUCAUGUGGUGUCUCGGCACGACGAACUGUAGCAACGGUGCAUACUCAGGGAGAACACUUGUACCUUGAAAUUUAGUGAGGGAUCAUCUUAUAAUGCUACCGCCGUACUAAGCAAAAUAAAAUGCAUAAAGAAUAAACAUCACAUGCAAACAAAAUAUGUGACAUGAUAUGGCCAUCAUCAUCUUGUGCCUUUGAUCUCCAUCUCCAAAGCACCAUCAUGAUCUCUAUCGUCACCGGCUUGACACCUUGAUCUCCAUCGUAGCAUCGUUGUCGUCUCGCCAACUAUUGCUUAUACGACUAUUGCUACCGCUUAGUGAUAAAGUGAAGCAAUUACAUGGCGAUUGCAUUUCAUACAUUAAAGCGACAACUAUAAGGCUCCUGCCAGUUGCCGAUAACUUUUACAAAACAUGAUCAUCUCAUACAACAAUUUAUAUCUUAUCACGUCUUGACCAUAUCAUAUCACACAUGCCCUGCAAAAACAAGUUAGACGUCCUCUACUUUGUUGUUGCAAGUUUUACGUGGCUGCUACGAGCUUCUAGCAAGAACCGUUCUUACGUACGUGUCAAAACCACAACGAUUUUUCGUCAAGUGUGUUGUUUUAACCUUCAACAAGGACCAACCGUAGUCAAACUCGAUUCAAUUAAAAUUGGAGAAACAGACACCCGCCAGCCACCUGUGUGCGAAGCACGUCGGUAGAACCAGCCUCAUGAACGCGGUCAUGCAAUGCCGGUCCAGACCGCUUCAUCCAACAAUACCGCCGAAUCAAAGUAAGACGUUGGUGGUAAGCAGUAUGACUAUUAUCGCCCACAACUCUUUGUGUUCUACUCGUGCAUAUAACAUCUAUGCAUAGAUCUGGCUCGGAUGCCACUGUUGGGGUACGUAGUAAUUCAAAAAAAAUUCCUACAAUCACACAAGAUCUAAUUAGGAGAUGCAUAGCAAUGAGAGGAGAGAGUGUGUCCACGUACCCUCGUAGACCGAAAGCAGAAGCGUUUAGUAAUGCGGUUGAUGUAGUCGAACAUCUUCAUGAUUCAACCGAUCCAAGCACCGAACGUACAACACCUCCGUGUUCAGCACACGUUCAGCAUAAUGACGUCCCUCGAGCUCUUGAUCCAGUUGAGGGCGAGGGAGAGUUCUUCAGCACGACGGUGUGGCGACGGUGAUGAUGAAGUUACCGGCACAGGGCUUCAUCUAAGCACUACAACGAUAUGACCGAGGUGUUGAACUGUGGAGGGGGGCACUACACACGGCUAAGAGAUUGUAUGUUGUCCUAUUAGGGUGCCCCUAGCCACGUGUAUAAAGGAGGGAGGGAGAGAGGAGGCCGGCCAAGAGAGGCGCGCCACGGGGAGUCCUACUCGGACUCCGAGUCCAAGUAGGAUUCGCCCCCUCCCCCUUUCCUUUCUUCCACCGAAGGGAAAGGGAGGAGGGGGGCCGCGCCCCCACCCCUUGUCCAAUUCGGUUUGGUUAAGGGGGGCGCGCACCACCUCGUGGCCCUUCUUUCCUCUCUCCACUAAAGCCCACUAAGGCCCAUUAACUUCCCCGGGGAAUUCCGGUAACCUCCCGGUACUUCGGAAAAAUACCCGAACUACUCGGAACCAUUUUGAUGUCCAAAUGCAACCUUCCAAUAUAUGAAUCUUUACCUCUCAAUCAUUUCGAGACUCCUCGUCACGUCUGUGAUCUCAUCCGGGACUCCGAACAAAUUCCGGUCAUCAAAUCACAUAACUCAUAAUACAAAUCGUCAUCCAAUGUUAAGCGUGUGGACCCUGCGGGUUCAAGAACUAUGUAGACAUGACCGAGACACAUUUCUGGUCAAUAACCAAUAGCGGAAUGUGGAUGCUCAUAUUGGUUCCUUUUUCAUCGGUAUCGGUCAAACCGCAUAACAACAUAUGGUCAAACCGCAUAAUAACAUACGUCAUUCCCUUUGUCAUCGGUAUGUUACUUGCCCGAGAUUUGACAGUCGGUAUCAUCAUACCUAGUUCAAUAUCGUUAUCGGCAAGUCUCUUUACUCAUUCCGUAAUGUAUCAUCCCGUAACUAACUCACUAGUCAAAUUGCUUCCAAGGCUUAUAGUGAUGUGCAUUACCGAGAGGGCCCAGAGAUACCUCUCUGAUACACUGAGUGACAAAUCCUCAUCUUGAUCUAUGCCAACUCAACAAACACCAUCGGAGACACCUGUAGAGCAUCUUUAUAAUCACACAGUUAUGUUGUGACGUUUGAUAGCACACAAGGUGUUCCUCCGGUAUUCGGGAGUUGCAUAAUCUCAUAGUCAGAGGAACAUGUAUAUGUCAUGAAGAAAGCAAUAGCAAUAAAACUAAACGAUCAUUAUGCUAAGCUAACGGAUGGGUCUUGUCCAUCACAUCAUCCCGUUCAUCAAAUGACAACACAUGUCUAUGGUCAGGAAACUUAAUCAUCUUUGAUUAAUGAGCUAGUCAAGUAGAGGCAUACUAGGGACACUCUGUUUGUCUAUGUAUUCACACAUGUACUAAGUUUCCGAUUAAUACAAUUCUAGCAUGAAUAAUAAACAUUUAUCAUGAUAUAAGGAAAUAUAAAUAACAACUUUAUUAUUGCCUCUAGGGCAUAUUUCCUUCACAAUGGUCAUCAUUAAACCAUCCCAACAUUGGUGAAUAAACCUUACUUGCAUCAAAUUUACAUGCUACAACAUGCUUAAGUAAGCAAACAUGCAAUAAGUCAUUGGUCACGAAAUCAUCACCAAGAUUAGAGGUCAUAUCAAAAUGAUUAAACAUCGGUUCUUUUGCAUCAACAGUUAAUUCAAUGGGUGCACUCAAAAUUAUUGUUAUUUCAGUUGUUUGAUCACAUGACACAUUCAUGACAGUAACACGAUUCUUUAAAAUAGGUGGUGUGCUGAAAUCAAUAGGUAACUCAACACAUAUGUAUUCAAGUUAACUAGGCAUGCAUCAUUCUCAUGUGAAGUUCUAUCAUCAAUAUCUUUACUGUUACCUUGUCGCAAAGAAGUAAUUGAUGUAGGUACGGAUGGUAACAAUGUAUCAUACACUUGAGAUGAUGUCACGCUCAAGAUCUGAGGUGUGGCUACUCUAGUAGGUGUAACGGUAGAAGAACCGACUGGUGCUAGUGAGCAUGAUAGAGGCGAGGGUCCCGAUCUUUCGAUGAGAUAAUAACUAUCGAUUUGGUGGAGACGACUUUGACGAUCCGACUACAAACGUGCACGACGUUGCGCCUUAGCAAUCGCUAAACCAAUCUCCUGAGGUUACUGACGAUGCUGCAAGCGCGGUCAGCCUGACCACAAAGGUCUAUUCCUGCUAGCAAUCGAAGAACGAACAAGAAUAUGAUAAAGCAAUCUGAAUAUUGCAAAUAUAUAUGAAGUAUUGAUAAUGGUGGGGAUCUGGAAGCGGUCUUGGUCUGGUCGUUGGACACAAACGAAGUACACGAAGUUGCAAUGGCUAACUUUUAACUAAACAAAUCCCUAGGAAAAAGCUACUAGAUGGAUCUACUUAUAUAGGAGCAAGGGGUGGCGGCCAAGGAGGUGGGAGGACGUCCCAAGGCAGCCUAAAACUAACCCUAGGUCAUACAAGGCUCAUGGGCCCAAGUGGAGGUGAUGCAACACCUUUGGGCUUGUAGUUUGACUCGGAUUCUGCUGCAACGUCAGAUUGUUUCGUCCGUAACUCAACGCUCCAGACGAAUUUGAAGGUGAAUCCAAUUGAGUUGGAAAGAGCACGAAAUCUAGUUUCCAACAAAAAAAGAAUCACCCAAUUCGGAGUAAGUAUGAAAAAGUUGUUGGCGUUUUAAGUCAGGUAUGUCUGUGUAGUCCGAAUCUGAAUCCAGAACGUUUGAGACUUGGACUCUAUCUUCUCUUGGCCCAAAAGUGACGUGAGAGGACUUUUUGAACACAACCUAAACUUCUCCUUUUCCCUUAUCUUCAUAUGUGGAUUGUACAAAUGUCCCAUACACCUGCAAUUAGACAAAACACAAAAGUGUGUGAAGUAUUUUUGUUCUGGAUAACAUAAAUAGAUUAUUGAAUAGUUUGCAUUAGAAAUCACCUGACAAAUAUGCAUGUAUGCAAUAUUUUUUGGUCGUAUCCAAGGUAGUCAUGUCCUCAUCAGAGCAUGAACUAGAAUAGUAGUUGUUGUAGUCACCCAAUGCAUCCUCCUGUAUUUGUCUCUCAAAAGUACAAGCGCGAACAUACAUACCAGUAAUGCAACGAGGAAUAUACUGAAAUCUUGCGCGAAUAUCAUCAAACCACCAAAAAAUCUACUCAUUGUAUCAUCCUCAGAUUCUUCUAUGUCACAAUUAUGCAUAUAAGAUUUGAACUCUUGGUAGUAAGAAUGAACAGUGUUACUGCCUUGUUUUAAUUGUUCCAAUUUGCGAAGGAAUCACGGCGAUAGUAAGGAGGAAAAAAUUGUUGUCUCAUUACAACUUUCAGUUCUUUCUAAAUUGUGGGUUGGUUAUCAAUGUUUCUCUUAUGAUGCACACUCCACCAAACAGAAGCAAAACCAAUAAAUGCUCAAGUGGCGGCUCGUACUCUCUCAAGUUUAGAAAAAUCAUGGUGACUAAAAACUUGAUCUACUUCAAGCUCCCAAGCUAGAUAAAUAGCAGGAUUAAAUCUACCCUUAAAUGACGGUAAAGAGAUAACCUAACCAUGUGCGUGUGUGUGUGUUGUCCCACCUCUCGUGAUGGUGAAGAUGUAUCCGUCGUCCAAGAAUUUUUAUCUCCGGAACCUGUCAUGAUUAGUAGAAACAAGAAACAAAAUCCAAGAAUAAUGUUCCUGUGGACUACUAGGAUGUGGUGGUAAAGCGUUCACAGUAAAGCAAAUAUCAAUAUCUUACAAGUUCUUACCAUGCAGCAGGUGGUGACAGGCAACUAGCGGUGUCAAAUAACUCCGAAGAUUGAGUAAAGCGAUUGCCAGGGGAACGUACGUAUACACGGUGUAGAAAUAUGUGGAGCUUGGAAGGCUUAAAUAUUUGGCAGCAAAAGAUUUGAAAUAAUCAAUUCAGAGAUGCAAUGUUGAAUAAACGCUCAACGACGAUGCUGUGCUGGUCCUAGGCUAGACCGGACUAGAGACGCGAGCCUAAAACACUAAUUAGGUCACGACGUAGCACAGCUAGCAUCAAUAAAGGAUAGGAAGUAGCUCUGGACAGCAAGAUAUAAGUGAAGAUCACAAUGACAGUAAAUAUAAUGAUGAGAAACAACUGCCAAGCAGGAUAUAUCAAAAACUCUUUCUCCAACUUUCCUAAAAGUAGAUCCGAAUUUUGUUUUUCUUUCUUCCCUUUUUCACACUUUUUUCUUUUACUUUUUUCUCUCUUUUUUUCUCUAUCUUUUUUCCCUCCCUCUUUCCACGACAAACUGGAUAAGAUGCAGAUUGGAUCAAGCGAAGAUUGAACGAACUCAACUAUGAUUAUGAACGAUGGGUAGCACGUGGUGGAAAUUGAUGGGUGGGGUGGUGGACAGCGAAAGGAAUAACGAUGCAGCGGUUGCGUGACUAAUAUGAACAGAACUCGAAACUCUAAACGAAUUAGACACUAAGACCAGCAACUCGACACGAUAAUGCAACCGGUAAUUCAUUAAUGCAAACAAUGAAAAGAGAAAUUACAAAGGCUUAGAUUGGCUUGGACAAAGGAUAAACAUAUCUAACUUUUUUGGGGCUUUUCUUGGACAAUAGCUAAAAAAUAAAUCUAAUCUAGGGAAAACAGAAAAUUCUCACCGAGCAAUCUGAAAACUGAUACCACUUGAUAGGGGCGAGGGUGUCCCGAUGUUUCGAUGAGAUUAUAACUAUCGAUUUGGUGGAGUCAACUUUGACGACCCAACUACAAAUGUGCACGACAUUGCGCCUUAGCAAUUGCUAAACAAUCUCCCAAGGUUACCGAUGAUGCUGGAAGUACGAUCAGCCUGACCACGAAGGUCUAUUCCUCACGCAAUCGAAGAACAAGCAAGAAUAUGAUAAUGCAAUCUGAAUAUUGCGAAUAUAGAUGAAGUAUUAAUAAAGGUGGGGAUCCAAAAGCGGUCUUAGUCUGGUCAUUGGACAGAAACGAAGUACACGAAGUUGCAAUGGCUAACUUUUAACUAAACAAAUCCCAAUAAAAAAGCUACUAGAUAGAUCUACUUAUAUAGGACCAAGGGAUGGCGGCUAAGGAGAUGGGAGGACAUCCCAAGGCAGGCUAAAACAAAUCCUAGGUCGUACAAGGCUCAUGGGCCCAAGUGUAGGUGAUGCAACACCUUUGGUCUUAUAGUUUGACUCAGAUUCUGCUGCAGCAUCAGAUUGUUUCGUCAAUAUCUCAACGCUCCGGACGAAUUUGAAGGUGAAUCCAAUUGGGUUGGAAAGAGUACAAAAUCUAUUUUUAAAAAAAUCAUCCAAUUCGGAGUCUGUAUGGAAGAGUUCUUCGCAUUUUGAGUCAAGUAUGUAUGUGCAUUCAAUCCAGAACGUGAGAUACUUGGACUCUAUCUUCUCUUGACACAAAAAUGACGUGAGAGAAUUUUUUGAACAAUACCUAAACUUCUCUUUUUCCUUAUCUUCAUAUGUGGAUUGUACAAAUAUCACAUACACCUACAAUUAGACAUAGCACAAAAGUCUGUAAAAUAUUUUUAUACUGAAUGAUAUAAAUAAAUUAUUUCAUAAUUUGCAUUAAAAAUCACCUCACAAAUAUACAUGUAUGCAAUAUUUUUGAUCGUAUUCAAGGUUGGUCCUCAUCAAAAUCAAUCUAAAGCCCAAAACUCACCCUUAAAAACUGAGAAAAAUGAAAAAAAAACGGAUGCCGCCAUGGAAAGAUGAGGAAGAGCAAGAAAGAACUCACAUGCGCAAGCGUUUUCUCCAUGGACUGGGACUUGUCCACCAGAUCUCCUCUUCUACAGGAGCCACCUCCACCUUGCCUUGAACAGGGAUUGAAAGAGGGGCGGGCAGUGAGGAAGAGAAGAAGGUCAGGGAAGAAGAAAGAAAGAGAGGAAAGCUCACCUACCCGAGCAGGGGGCAGGGGCGGAGGCGGCCAUACCCGUUGGGGAAGAGCGGUGCCACUGUUGCUGAGGUGCACGCGCGUGGGGAAGACGCAAUCUCGCUCCCUCCUUUUUCUUUUGCUGCUGCCCGCGUUGCCUGUCACUCGCCGCUUUCUCUUUCUUUCCUGCCCGCUUUGCCUGUCGCUCUGCACUGUUAAUACCAACGUGAGGCAACGGUUGUGCCUAACAACCCCUUCAACCUUUAUAUGUUCGAUAAGAUGACCGUAUUAGCAGCAUAUUUACUCCAUUACUAAUAAUGAAGUGAUUGCAUUCGCAGUUAAACUAUAGGUGUUUUACAACUUACAGCUCUCAAGAAUAACAUGUUCUAUUGUUGCACAACAUAUACAUCCAAAAAGGAUCGACAUUCCAUUACACUUUCAACCUUCCAGUUCCAACCAAGCCAUCGUUUUAUACCAAGACAACCAUGCCAAAUUCUUUCAAGUAUAUAUAACUACAGAUCCCAGCAUCAUGUCUCAAACCCAGCACCUGUCCAUCCUGAUCCAGAGCUUCCCCUUCCCUUGGGGAGGACCAUCACACCGCCUCU
Molecule: long non-coding RNA, 30760 nt
Filed under: Triticum aestivum (bread wheat)
Lineage: Eukaryota; Viridiplantae; Streptophyta; Magnoliopsida; Poales; Poaceae
Description: long non-coding RNA (TAES_LNC018860)
Source: RNAcentral